Molecule: long non-coding RNA, 207 nt
Filed under: Mytilus galloprovincialis (Mediterranean mussel)
Lineage: Eukaryota; Metazoa; Mollusca; Bivalvia; Mytilida; Mytilidae
Source: RNAcentral
CUGUUUUGAGGUCUAUUGUUGGUCUUAUUGUAGUAAUUUCUAUGGGUAUGAUCGGUUGUCUGACCUUUUUUAAACUGAUGAGUUAUAAUAUACCGUCUGGAUAUCUUUUAUUUUUUAUCUUCAAAAAGGGGUCAAUCAGUAUUCAAAGUACCAAAUUGAAUUUUAAUGUCUUCACAAUCUGAAGGAGUUAUUCUCCAUGACUAUAGC